Molecule: ribosomal RNA, 466 nt
Filed under: uncultured bacterium
Lineage: Bacteria
Description: partial 16S ribosomal RNA
Rfam family: Bacterial small subunit ribosomal RNA
Source: RNAcentral
GAUGAACGCUGGCGGCGUGCUUAACACAUGCAAGUCGAACGAUGAAGCCCAGCUUGCUGGGUGGAUUAGUGGCGAACGGGUGAGUAACACGUGAGUAACCUGCCCUUAACUCUGGGAUAAGCCUGGGAGACUGGGUCUAAUACAGGAUAGGAGCGUCCACCGCAUGGUGGGUGUUGGAAAGAUUUAUCGGUUUUGGAUGGACUCGCGGCCUAUCAGCUUGUUGGUGAGGUAAUGGCUCACCAAGGCGACGACGGGUAGCCGGCCUGAGAGGGUGACCGGCCACACUGGGACUGAGACACGGCCCAGACUCCUACGGGAGGCAGCAGUGGGGAAUAUUGCACAAUGGGCGAAAGCCUGAUGCAGCGACGCCGCGUGAGGGAUGACGGCCUUCGGGUUGUAAACCUCUUUCAGUAGGGAAGAAGCGAAAGUGACGGUACCUGCAGAAGAAGCACCGGCUAACUACGUG